CGGACGGGUGAGUAACGCGUGAGAAUCAGCCUUCAGGAUGGGGAUAACAGAGGGAAACCGCUGCUAAUACCCAAUAAGCCGAGAGGUAAAAAGCAAUGUGCCUGAAGAAGAGCUCGCGUCCGAUUAGUUAGUUGGUGGGGUAAAAGCCUACCAAGGCAGCGAUCGGUAGCUGGUCUGAGAGGAUGAGCAGCCACACUGGGACUGAGACACGGCCCAGACUCCUACGGGAGGCAGCAGUGGGGAAUUUUCCGCAAUGGGCGAAAGCCUGACGGAGCAAUACCGCGUGAGGGAGGAAGGCUUUUGGGUUGUAAACCUCUUUUAUCAAGGAAGAAGAAAGUGACGGUACUUGAAGAAUCAGCAUCGGCUAACUCCGUGCCAGCAGCCGCGGUAAUACGGAGGAUGCAAGCGUUAUCCGGAAUCAUUGGGCGUAAAGCGUCCGCAGGUGGUGGUUCAAGUCUGCUGUCAAAGACAGAAGCUCAACUUCUGAGAGGCAGUGGAAACUGGGCAACUAGAGUACGGUAGGGGUUGAGGGAAUUCCCAGUGUAGCGGUGAAAUGCGUAGAUAUUGGGAAGAACACCAGUGGCGAAGGCGCUCAACUGGGCCGUAACUGACACUCAGGGACGAAAGCUAGGGUAGCGAAAGGGAUUAGAUACCCCUGUAGUCUUAGCUGUAAACGAUGAACACUAGGCGUUGCUUGUAUCGACCCGAGCAGUGCCGUAGCCAACGCGUUAAGUGUUCCGCCUGGGGAGUACGCACGCAAGUGUGAAACUCAAAGGAAUUGACGGGGGCCCGCACAAGCGGUGGAGUAUGUGGUUUAAUUCGAUGCAACGCGAAGAACCUUACCAGAACUUGACA
Molecule: ribosomal RNA, 855 nt
Filed under: Chroococcidiopsis sp. QUCCCM34
Lineage: Bacteria; Bacillati; Cyanobacteriota; Cyanophyceae; Chroococcidiopsidales; Chroococcidiopsidaceae
Description: bacterial SSU rRNA
Rfam family: Bacterial small subunit ribosomal RNA
Source: RNAcentral